Molecule: ribosomal RNA, 1348 nt
Filed under: uncultured bacterium
Lineage: Bacteria
Description: 16S ribosomal RNA
Rfam family: Bacterial small subunit ribosomal RNA
Source: RNAcentral
GACGAACGCUGGCGGCGUGCUUAACACAUGCAAGUCGAACGAUGAAGCCUAGCUUGCUAGGUGGAUUAGUGGCGAACGGGUGAGUAAUACGUGAGUAACCUACCUUUAACUCUGGGAUAAGCCUGGGAAACUGGGUCUAAUACCGGAUACGACCAAUCUCCGCAUGGGGUGUUGGUGGAAAGCGUUAUGUAGUGGUUAUAGAUGGGCUCACGGCCUAUCAGCUUGUUGGUGAGGUAACGGCUCACCAAGGCGACGACGGGUAGCCGGCCUGAGAGGGUGACCGGCCACACUGGGACUGAGACACGGCCCAGACUCCUACGGGAGGCAGCAGUGGGGAAUAUUGCACAAUGGGCGCAAGCCUGAUGCAGCGACUCCGCGUGAGGGAUGACGGCCUUCGGGUUGUAAACCUCUGUUAGCAGGGAAGAAGAGAAAUUGACGGUACCUGCAGAGAAAGCGCCGGCUAACUACGUGUCAGCAGCCGCGGUUAAUACGUAGGGCGCGAGCGUUGUCCGGAAUUAUUGGGCGUUAAGAGCUUGUAGGCGGUUUGUCGCGUCUGCUGUGAAAGGCCGGGGCUUAACCCCGUGUAUUGCAGUGGGUACGGGCAGACUAGAGUGCAGUAGGGGAGACUGGAAUUCCUGGUGUAGCGGUGGAAUGCGCAGAUAUCAGGAGGAACACCGAUGGCGAAGGCAGGUCUCUGGGCUGUAACUGACGCUGAGAAGCGAAAGCAUGGGGAGCGAACAGGAUUAGAUACCCUGGUAGUCCAUGCCGUAAACGUUGGGCACUAGGUGUGGGGGACAUUCCACGUUUUCCGCGCCGUAGCUAACGCAUUAAGUGCCCCGCCUGGGGAGUACGGCCGCAAGGCUAAAACUCAAAGAAAUUGACGGGGGCCCGCACAAGCGGCGGAGCAUGCGGAUUAAUUCGAUGCAACGCGAAGAACCUUACCAAGGCUUGACAUAUACUGGACCGCAUCAGAGAUGGUGUUUCCCUUCGGGGCUGGUAUACAGGUGGUGCAUGGUUGUCGUCAGCUCGUGUCGUGAGAUGUUGGGUUAAGUCCCGCAACGAGCGCAACCCUCGUUCUAUGUUGCCAGCACGUUAUGGUGGGGACUCAUAGGAGACUGCCGGGGUCAACUCGGAGGAAGGUGGGGAUGACGUCAAAUCAUCAUGCCCCUUAUGUCUUGGGCUUCACGCAUGCUACAAUGGCCGGUACAGAGGGUUGCGAUACUGUGAGGUGGAGCUAAUCCCUAAAAACCGGUCUCAGUUCGGAUUUGGGGUCUGCAACUCGACCCCACGAAGUCGGAGUCGCUAGUAAUCGCAGAUCAGCAACGAUGCGGCGAAUAAGUUCCCGGGC